UAAUUUAGGUAAUCGCUGCAAAGCUUGACUUUGUAGAGGAAAGUCCAUGCUCACACGGAUCUGAGAUGACCGUAGUGUUUAUGCUCGGUGAAAAAAUAAGCCGGGGCUUCGCGCAUAGCGCGUCGACGGCGGGAAUAAGCCCUAAGUUGAUAUGAGUUUCUCAUAUCAAUAUGGGUUAGGUUCCCUGAACAGUGCCACAGAAACGUAGCUGACUUGGAAACAGGUCAGGUGGAACGCGGUAAACCCCAUAAGUGAGAAACCCAAACUAUGGUAGGGGCACUCUUCUGAAGGAAUUGAACGGAUGAAGGGACAGGUAUUUACCUGUAGAUAGAUGAUUACCGCCCUAAGUACGAGGCGCAAGCCGUUUGAGUACACGGGAACAAAACAUGGCUUAUCGAA
RNAcentral lists this RNase P RNA (399 nucleotides) under Ursus thibetanus thibetanus. Its description in RNAcentral is "Bacterial RNase P class B (ENSUTTG00000013279.1)". It matches the Rfam family "Bacterial RNase P class B". From Rfam's summary of the family: Ribonuclease P (RNase P) is a ubiquitous endoribonuclease, found in archaea, bacteria and eukarya as well as chloroplasts and mitochondria. Its best characterised activity is the generation of mature 5'-ends of tRNAs by cleaving the 5'-leader elements of precursor-tRNAs. Cellular RNase Ps are ribonucleoproteins. The record is from RNAcentral. Lineage: Eukaryota; Metazoa; Chordata; Mammalia; Carnivora; Ursidae.